Molecule: long non-coding RNA, 184 nt
Filed under: Mus caroli (Ryukyu mouse)
Lineage: Eukaryota; Metazoa; Chordata; Mammalia; Rodentia; Muridae
Description: sRNA (MGP_CAROLIEiJ_G0008769.1)
Rfam family: Adaptive response 33 conserved region 4
Source: RNAcentral
UUAGGCACCAUUCUCCAAUCAGUCCUUUCCCGGCGCACACCACCAUCGCCAGGGCCAGGCAGGCGUCAGCUCGGUUCCCACCUCUCAACUCCCCAUUGCCAUGCUCGCCCAAAGCGCGAUGGCGCCGGAUUGCACGGGAGCAGGCGUAGACCUGAUGGAAGCCAGAGCGCUAACAAAAGGAGGA